Molecule: small RNA, 170 nt
Filed under: Escherichia coli 3.2303
Lineage: Bacteria; Pseudomonadati; Pseudomonadota; Gammaproteobacteria; Enterobacterales; Enterobacteriaceae
Description: RtT RNA
Rfam family: RtT RNA (bases 39-170)
About the family: This family represents a bacterial cis-regulatory element known as RtT RNA. The exact function of RtT is unknown although it is thought that it may be involved in changing the cellular response in relation to amino acid starvation.
Source: RNAcentral
CAAAAGUCCCUGAACUUCCCAACGAAUCCGCAUUAAAUAUUAUGCCCAUGCGGGGAAGGAUGAGAAGCUUCGACCAAGGUUCGACUCGAGCGCCAGCGAGAGAGCGUUGCCGCAGGCAACGACCCGAAGGGCGAAGCGCGCAGCGCUGAGUAAUCCUUCCCCCACCACCA